GAACUCCUUACAACAAUUUAAAAAGAACUUAUUUCUCAAAACCCUCGAGUUCUG
This is a non-coding RNA of 54 nucleotides. It matches the Rfam family "Class I RNA from Dictyostelium". The record is from Rfam.